RNAcentral lists this ribosomal RNA (399 nucleotides) under uncultured Rikenellaceae bacterium. RNAcentral's name for it is "bacterial SSU rRNA". It matches the Rfam family "Bacterial small subunit ribosomal RNA", at positions 981 to 1382 of the family's 1533-position model. The record is from RNAcentral. Lineage: Bacteria; Pseudomonadati; Bacteroidota; Bacteroidia; Bacteroidales; Rikenellaceae.
UCGAACGGUGCAGGAAUAUGGUAGAGAUAUCAUAGCUAGCAAUAGUCUGUAUCGAGGUGCUGCAUGGUUGUCGUCAGCUCGUGCCGUGAGGUGUCGGCUUAAGUGCCAUAACGAGCGCAACCCUUGUCGUUAGUUACCAUCAAGUAAAGUUGGGGACUCUAGCGAGACUGCCACCGUAAGGUGUGAGAAGGGGGGGAUGACGUCAAAUCAGCACGGCCCUUACGUCCGGGGCGACACACGUGUUACAAUGGUAGGUACAGAGGGGCGCUAUCCAGUGAUGGAGUGCGAGUCUCAAAACCUAUCUCAGUUCGGAUUGGAGUCUGCAACUCGACUCCAUGAAGUUGGAUUCGCUAGUAAUCGCGCAUCAGCCAUGGCGCGGUGAAUACGUUCCCGGGCCUU